GCCGCAAAUCUAGCUUUUACUCCCUAUAACAUCAAUUUCACACCAACAACUUAUGAUAAAACAUUUUAAUUUUUUAGUAGAGGUGAUCAAAAAACUCCUAUAACGCUUCAGAACUAGUACCGCAAGGGAAAGAUGAAAUAAAAAUGAAAUAAAUUUAAAGCCCAAUACAGCAGAGACUCCAACUCG
Molecule: ribosomal RNA, 186 nt
Filed under: Indirana sp. 3 KR-2003
Lineage: Eukaryota; Metazoa; Chordata; Amphibia; Anura; Ranixalidae
Description: partial 16S ribosomal RNA
Source: RNAcentral